This 493-nucleotide ribosomal RNA is filed under the name Kodamaea restingae. Its description in RNAcentral is "[Candida] restingae partial large subunit ribosomal RNA". It matches the Rfam family "Eukaryotic large subunit ribosomal RNA", at positions 62 to 648 of the family's 3401-position model. Lineage: Eukaryota; Fungi; Ascomycota; Pichiomycetes; Serinales; Debaryomycetaceae. The record is from RNAcentral.
AAACCAACAGGGAUUGCCUCAGUAACGGCGAGUGAAGCGGCAAAAGCUCAAAUUUGAAAUCCCCCCGGGGAAUUGUAAUUUGAAGAUUGUGUUUUGGAAACGACCGUGUCUAUGUUCCUUGGAACAGGACGUCACAGAGGGUGAGAAUCCCGUGCGGCACGGCCACCGUUUCCUUAUAAAACACUCUCGACGAGUCGAGUUGUUUGGGAAUGCAGCUCAAAGUGGGUGGUAAAUUCCAUCUAAAGCUAAAUACAGGCGAGAGACCGAUAGCGAACAAGUACAGUGAUGGAAAGAUGAAAAGCACUUUGAAAAGAGAGUGAAACAGUACGUGAAAUUGUUGAAAGGGAAGGGCAUGCCGUCAGAUUGUCAGUGUGGGUAAGAAGCGGGGUACAAAGACUGUGGAACGUGGCCCUCGGGUGUUAUAGCCACAGUUCAUCCCCCGUCUCUUUCCGAGGCCUGCUUUGAGGACACCGACGUAAUGACGGUACGCCGC